GGGCGUUAAGUUGCAGGGUAUAGACCCGAAACCCGGUGAUCUAGCCAUGGGCAGGUUGAAGGUUGGGUAACACUAACUGGAGGACCGAACCGACUAAUGUUGAAAAAUUAGCGGAUGACCUGUGGCUGGGGGUGAAAGGCCAAUCAAACCGGGAGAUAGCUGGUUCUCCCCGAAAGCUAUUUAGGUAGCGCCUCGUGAAUUCAUCUCCGGGGGUAGAGCACUGUUUCGGCUAGGGGGCCAUCCCGGCUUACCAACCCGAUGCAAACUGCGAAUACCGGAGAAUGUUAUCACGGGAGACACACGGCGGGUGCUAACGUCCGUCGUGAAGAGGGAAACAACCCAGACCGCCAGCUAAGGUCCCAAAGUCAUGGUUAAGUGGGAAACGAUGUGGGAAGGCCCAGACAGCCAGGAUGUUGGCUUAGAAGCAGCCAUCAUUUAAAGAAAGCGUAAUAGCUCACUGGUCGAGUCGGCCUGCGCGGAAGAUGUAACGGGGCUAAACCAUGCACCGAAGCUGCGGCAGCGAACGUAUCACCCAAGACAACUUUACGGAGUUGACGAUUGACGGAGCGAAGCGACGUCAAAGCGUUCAUUAAAGUCGAGUUGGCUUAGGGAUACGUUCGUUGGGUAGGGGAGCGUUCUGUAAGCCUGUGAAGGUGUGUCGUGAGGCAUGCUGGAGGUAUCAGAAGUGCGAAUGCUGACAUAAGUAACGAUAAAGCGGGUGAAAAGCCCGCUCGCCGGAAGACCAAGGGUUCCUGUCCAACGUUAAUCGGGGCAGGGUGAGUCGACCCCUAAGGCGAGGCCGAAAGGCGUAGUCGAUGGGAAACGGGUUAAUAUUCCCGUACUUGGUGUUACUGCGAAGGGGGGACGGAGAAGGCUAUGUUGGCCGGGCGACGGUUGUCCCGGUUUAAGCGUGUAGGUGUGUGUUCCAGGUAAAUCCGGUUCACUUUAACACUGAGGCGUGACGACGAGGCACUACGGUGCUGAAGCAACAAAUGCCCUGCUUCCAGGAAAAGCCUCUAAGCAUCAGGUAACAYSAAAUCGUACCCCAAACCGACACAGGUGGUCAGGUAGAGAAUACCAAGGCGCUUGAGAGAACUCGGGUGAAGGAACUAGGCAAAAUGGUGCCGUAACUUCGGGAGAAGGCACGCUGACACGUAGGUGAAGUGAUUUACUCAUGGAGCUGAAGUCAGUCGAAGAUACCAGCUGGCUGCAACUGUUUAUUAAAAACACAGCACUGUGCAAACACGAAAGUGGACGUAUACGGUGUGACGCCUGCCCGGUGCCGGAAGGUUAAUUGAUGGGGUCAGCGCAAGCGAAGCUCCUGAUCGAAGCCCCGGUAAACGGCGGCCGUAACUAUAACGGUCCUAAGGUAGCGAAAUUCCUUGUCGGGUAAGUUCCGACCUGCACGAAUGGCGUAAUGAUGGCCAGGCUGUCUCCACCCGAGACUCAGUGAAAUUGAACUCGCUGUGAAGAUGCAGUGUACCCGCGGCAAGACGGAAAGACCCCGUGAACCUUUACUAUAGCUUGACACUGAACAUUGAGCCUUGAUGUGUAGGAUAGGUGGGAGGCUUUGAAGUGUGGACGCCAGUCUGCAUGGAGCCGACCUUGAAAUACCACCCUUUAAUGUUUGAUGUUCUAACGUGGACCCGUWAYCCGGGUUGCGGACAGUGUCUGGUGGGUAGUUUGACUGGGGCGGUCUCCUCCUAAAGAGUAACGGAGGAGCACGAAGGUUGGCUAAUCCUGGUCGGACAUCAGGAGGUUAGUGCAAUGGCAUAAGCCAGCUUGACUGCGAGCGUGACGGCGCGAGCAGGUGCGAAAGCAGGUCAUAGUGAUCCGGUGGUUCUGAAUGGAAGGGCCAUCGCUCAACGGAUAAAAGGUACUCCGGGGAUAACAGGCUGAUACCGCCCAAGAGUUCAUAUCGACGGCGGUGUUUGGCACCUCGAUGUCGGCUCAUCACAUCCUGGGGCUGAAGUAGGUCCCAAGGGUAUGGCUGUUCGCCAUUUAAAGUGGUACGCGAGCUGGGUUUAGAACGUCGUGAGACAGUUCGGUCCCUAUCUGCCGUGGGCGCUGGAGAACUGAGGGGGGCUGCUCCUAGUACGAGAGGACCGGAGUGGACGCAUCACUGGUGUUCGGGUUGUCAUGCCAAUGGCACUGCCCGGUAGCUAAAUGCGGAAGAGAUAAGUGCUGAAAGCAUCUAAGCACGAAACUUGCCCCGAGAUGAGUUCUCCCUGAGACUUAGAGUCUCCUGAAGGAACGUUGAAGACGACGACGUUGAUAGGCCGGGUGUGUAAGCGCAGCGAUGCGUUGAGCUAACCGGUACUAAUGAACCGUGAGGCUUAACCUU
This 2344-nucleotide ribosomal RNA is filed under the name Salmonella enterica. RNAcentral describes it as "partial 23S ribosomal RNA". Lineage: Bacteria; Pseudomonadati; Pseudomonadota; Gammaproteobacteria; Enterobacterales; Enterobacteriaceae. The record is from RNAcentral.